Molecule: non-coding RNA, 235 nt
Organism: Pelobates cultripes (western spadefoot toad)
Lineage: Eukaryota; Metazoa; Chordata; Amphibia; Anura; Pelobatidae
Source: the annotation of a GenBank genome assembly
UAUUGGUGUUGUGGAAAUACUGACUGUUCUGGUAGUUGGGGCAUUACCAACGGUUUUGUAGAAUUACUGGCUGUUCCUGGUGGGUGGGGGGCUGUUACUGAGGGUUUUAUGGAUUGUCUGUCUGUUCUUCCUAAGUGGGGCCUGUUAACUUUUGUGUAAUUACUGGCUGUUCCUGAAGGUGGAGGCUCUUCCCAACGGUAUUGUGAAAAAGGUUGAUGUUCUUGUUGGGUUGGGC